This 405-nucleotide long non-coding RNA is filed under the name Salvator merianae (Argentine black and white tegu). RNAcentral's name for it is "lncRNA (ENSSMRG00000008907.1)". Lineage: Eukaryota; Metazoa; Chordata; Lepidosauria; Squamata; Teiidae. The record is from RNAcentral.
CGUCCCACAAGACACAGAAGAAGAUGUUCCCUCUCCUUGUGUUUUGUUAAAAAAAGAAAACAGCUGGGGGAUCUUCCCUGCUUAUGCUUGGCUGAGCAUGGCCAUUCCCAGGAGCCUCUGGAGCUGCGUCUCGGAGGACAGACGGCGGUGAUUAAGAAUGAAACCAUUCUGCCAGGGCUGAGAAAGAAAGGUAGAAAAGACGCCCUCCUGGGACCUGCAACUUGUAGUUACCCUGGGAAAAAAGUAGUGCAAGAUUGUUAGUCUGAGGGACAGAUGAAAAUGUGAUUGCUUUAGACUGAGGCUGAGGAGAGAAAGCCACCUCUGUCUGGAAGAACCACGGAGCCUGUUUGCCUCUACCUUGCCCUCUCUGUUUAAAUACCUGAUCCUCAUAAGGAACCACAUUUU